GUACCCGCGGCAAGACGGAAAGACCCCGUGAACCUUUACUAUAGCUUGACACUGAACAUUGAGCCUUGAUGUGUAGGAUAGGUGGGAGGCUUUGAAGUGUGGACGCCAGUCUGCAUGGAGCCGACCUUGAAAUACCACCCUUUAAUGUUUGAUGUUCUAACGUUGGCCCGUAAUCCGGGUUGCGGACAGUGUCUGGUGGGUAGUUUGACUGGGGCGGUCUCCUCCUAAAGAGUAACGGAGGAGCACGAAGGUUGGCUAAUCCUGGUCGGACAUCAGGAGGUUAGUGCAAUGGCAUAAGCCAGCUUGACUGCGAGCGUGACGGCGCGAGCAGGUGCGAAAGCAGGUCAUAGUGAUCCGGUGGUUCUGAAUGGAAGGGCCAUCGCUCAACGGAUAAAAGGUACUCCGGGGAUAACAGGCUGAUACCGCCCAAGAGUUCAUAUCGACGGCGGUGUUUGGCACCUCGAUGUCGGCUCAUCACAUCCUGGGGCUGAAGUAGGUCCCAAGGGUAUGGCUGUUCGCCAUUUAAAGUGGUACGCGAGCUGGGUUUAGAACGUCGUGAGACAGUUCGGUCCCUAUCUGCCGUGGGCGCUGGAGAACUGAGGGGGGCUGCUCCUAGUACGAGAGGACCGGAGUGGACGCAUCACUGGUGUUCGGGUUGUCAUGCCAAUGGCACUGCCCGGUAGCUAAAUGCGGAAGAGAUAAGUGCUGAAAGCAUCUAAGCACGAAACUUGCCCCGAGAUG
Molecule: ribosomal RNA, 741 nt
Filed under: Escherichia coli
Lineage: Bacteria; Pseudomonadati; Pseudomonadota; Gammaproteobacteria; Enterobacterales; Enterobacteriaceae
Description: partial 23S ribosomal RNA
Rfam family: Bacterial large subunit ribosomal RNA
Source: RNAcentral